GAUGAAGAACGUAGCGAAAUGCGAUACGUAAUGUGAAUUGCAGAAUUCAGUGAAUCAUCGAAUCUUUGAACGCAUAUUGCGCUCUCUGGUAUUCCGGAGAGCAUGCUUGUUUGAGUAUCAGUAAACACCUCAACUCCCUUUUCUUUUUUGAAAUUGGAGCUGGACUUGAGUGAUCCCAACGCUUUCUUCCAAGAAAGUGGCGGGUUGCUUGAAAUGCAGGUGCAGCUGAACUUUUCACUGAGCUAUAAGCAUAUCUAUUUAGUCUGCCUAAAAAACAGAUUAUUACCUUUGCUGCAGCUAACAUAAAGGAGACUAGUUCUUGUGCUGACUGAUGCAGGAUUCACAGAGACAGCUUCGGCUGACUUUGUAAACUCGAUCUCAAAUCAAGUAAGACUACCCGCUGAACUUAAGCAUAUCAAUAAGCGGAGGA
Molecule: unclassified non-coding RNA, 430 nt
Filed under: soil metagenome
Description: partial contains 5.8S ribosomal RNA, internal transcribed spacer 2, and large subunit ribosomal RNA
Rfam family: 5.8S ribosomal RNA (bases 1-120)
Source: RNAcentral